Colius striatus (speckled mousebird) is the source of this 400-nucleotide long non-coding RNA. RefSeq lists it as uncharacterized. The record is from RefSeq and is a predicted model, not a curated record. NCBI's taxonomy places the organism in Eukaryota, Metazoa, Chordata, Aves, Coliiformes, Coliidae. The transcript is spliced from 4 exons.
AAAUACCUAGAGGUAUACAGGAGGGUCUUGUUUGAUCUCCAGGAGUGUUCACACAAGGCCUGGGAAAAACCUGGGAGCUGUGGUUUUGCUUCCAGCAGAGCAACUUCCCAAUGAAGGCUGUGUGUCUCCAAGGACAAAAAUAUGCAGCAUGUUCACAUCUGGGUCCUUCUUGAAUAUGUUGGGCUUGGCGUGGUGUUGGAAGUGACGAUGGUUCCACCAGUUUGCAGAGGCUCCCUGGGCAGACACAAGGACAAGGAGCUCAUCUAGGAGAAACUACACUUCCCCUAAUGGGUCCGGAAAUCCUCCACCAGCUGGGACUGCAAAAUAGACAUGAAAGACACAGAAUGGAGCUUAGCUGCCUGUAGAGAAGAAACCUUUCUGAUCUGCCUCUGACCUGGAG